Molecule: long non-coding RNA, 1764 nt
Organism: Oncorhynchus tshawytscha (Chinook salmon)
Lineage: Eukaryota; Metazoa; Chordata; Actinopteri; Salmoniformes; Salmonidae
Exons: 3
Source: RefSeq, a predicted model, not a curated record
UUCAAGCGUUGAUCGACAUGGUAAUGGCUCUAUAGUAUUGGAGAAAAGUUGAAAAAACGGACCCUCUGUUACCUCAUGACGUGUCAUGCUGUAACGUACAGCACGCAUAAAGCUACUUUUUCUGUCUUACAAUCUCUCUCCACCAGGUGUAGCACUUCUCUUAUCGUUUAAAAACAAGAUAUGGACAGUGAUGAGGGCAAAGGGGGAUACCUAGUCAUAUUUUGUGUCGUCACUGCAAGCGAUAACGACUCUCAAAAAAACUGUUUACCUAUAGGUAUGUAAGCACACAUUAUAUAAACUCUUUAUAGUGUUUUAUUUACAUUUUAGAGACGAUAAGGUGAUAAGUUGGACAGAUCGAGUGAAAAAAAGCAAUUUUCCCACACAACAUCUCUCCUUCUCACUAUCAUGCAUUAGUUUCGCUUCCCCACCUGCCAUUUUUACAAAGACCCAACGGGGCUCAUUGCCUUCUUGAAUCAUGCAGAAACGGGCAGCGUUUAGGUCAUGUCAUUUAUUUUGUUGGAAAUGGGAGAAAGUGUGCUUUACAAUGGUAUUGACAUUACAGUUGAUCUGGAACUAUUACGUUUUUGGGGCACUAAAAUAAGGUCAAUUGUACAGACCAAGGCGAUGUACAAAAGUGAGUGAGUUUACGUAAGCUAGCUGACGUUAGAUGGCUGGCUCGCUAGCUAACAUUACAUUUAUGAUCUGUGUGUAGUAAUUUAAUCUGAGAAUGCCAUUUCAUGUUGCCAGUUAUAGCCUAAUGUUAGCUAGCUAACAUUGAACCUAUUUGGUUAACUUUAGCUAUGACAAUCUGUUCGUAUUGCUACUACUCUAUGGAUUAGGAUUAUGGUUCAUUGUUUAGCUAGCAUGUCUAAACAAAAGACUCCAACUCGCCAGAUGAUUACAUGACCCAUCAAGUUAGCCAGGUAUGUCUGACGGUGAUUAUGGCAACUAUUGUAUAAUAAUGGCAACAUAUUUGUAUCUGGAAUUUGCCUUUCAGCAUCAGUAGAACAAGUCUUUCUCUCAUCCACCAGUCAUACAAGGAUAAUGGUCAAAUGCCUACCAUCAAAAAGAGAGCUGGCCCAAGCAAGCCAGGUUACACCUGAAGCAUGAGGACUUGCAGCAAAUGGUGAACUUCAUCAAUAACUACGCAGAGGAUAACGCAAUAGUAUUACCAGGACGCCAUCCCAGGACACAAACACUUUGGUGGAGAGCUGCUGCAAUCCCAUGUGACAAAAGCAGCAGUGUGGCGUCUCUACAAGAAUCGAUGACAACACUUGGAAUUUUCCAAGAUGAUGUUUCUGUAUGCAGUGCUGAUGCUCUGCACAUUUGUAGGUGCACUAUCCUUCUGACCCUAUGCAGCCAGGUCCCAUCUACUUUUUAACUCCUCGCAAGUGUGGCUUGUUUGGUGUCUGCUGUGAAGCAACUACUUAAUUGAUGAAGGCAUGUCAUCCAGCAAAGGCAGAAGCUCGGUCAUCAACUACAUGCACCAUUUCUUCACCAACUAUGGAGUUGGGGAAACACAUGUGGACCUUAAUUGUGAUAACUGCAGUGGCCAAAACAAGAACAAGUUUGUGCUCUGGUAUUGUGCCUGGUGGACCAUGCUUAAGCUCCACUACAGUCUGGACCUUCACUUACCUGAUCACAGGCCACACCAAGUUUGGCCCCGACUGGUGCUUCGGCCUCAUCAAGCAGCACUUCAGAAAGACCAGAGUGAACACUUGGUCUGAGAUUGCUGGUGUUGUGAAGGACAGCACUGUGACAGGG